AGCUUUGCGCAGUGGCAUUACCGUAGCUGAUGAGGUCCAUCCGAGGCGCGGUUAUUGCUGAUUGAAAACUUUUCCCAAUACCCCGCGAGACGACUUGAAACAUAGUCGGCUUUGCAAUUUUUGUGGGCCCUGCUUAGGG
Molecule: small nuclear RNA, 139 nt
Filed under: Nematostella vectensis (starlet sea anemone)
Lineage: Eukaryota; Metazoa; Cnidaria; Anthozoa; Actiniaria; Edwardsiidae
Description: U4 spliceosomal RNA
Rfam family: U4 spliceosomal RNA
About the family: U4 small nuclear RNA (U4 snRNA) is a component of the major U2-dependent spliceosome. The structure of U4 snRNA from yeast and human has been reported. U4 snRNA presents a k-turn RNA motif in the 5p-SL related to recognition of Snu13 protein.
Source: Rfam by way of RNAcentral